UAACAUAAAUCAGUUUAAACUAAGAAGGGAGUUUAAUUGCCACAUCCGUGACUCAGCAGCUGGCACACAUUUGUGUUUGCUGUCUCUGCAGGAAGGGGUGUCCCUUCUUCAGCCGCUGCGGUGAAAUCCAUGGGGGCAGCGAGCAGGAGCCCCGGCAGUGCCUACGCUGCAGUGGCCUGGUUUGUGCAGAUGCUUUGGAGAAGUGAGCUCCUGUGCCUCUAACGGGGUCAUUCCAGCAGCGUCAGCUACGGGAUCAAUCAACCUGGGUGUGCUCCUGGGUGGUUAGCCCUGGUUCUCUGUGGCUGUCCUCUUAGUCAGCCUGACUUCACUCCGUUAAAGCUCUGGCUACCUGAGCUGCAGCCCCUCAAGCACAGAGAAACCCAAGUCCAUUUCCCAUUUCGCUGUACGUUUAAUCAGAGGCCUCUCAGAAGUUUUAGACUGUAGUCUUUUCCCUGUGUAUUCUUACUAUGUUUAUUUAAGAUUUAACUUUAUGAGCAGUUUUCCUUUAUCUCCGUAUACACAGCACAAAUUCGGUCUGUUCCCUCAGCUUUUGCAUGCAGCUGGUUUGACUGAUCUAACGUUGCUGAUUUACCAGUAUAAUACAGCUUGUCUGAAAAGAAGGAAGAAUGAUGUUGGCUGAAGUAAAAUUCUGAGAUGCCUGUGGAGUUUUAUUGCCCUUGAUUCUUGGGUUGCCAUUUAUUUAAAAAAGUAUGCAGAACUCUGACUUUAGAUUUUUCAGGAAUGCCUACAUUAUGUCAGUGUUGCAAAUUCUUUGAGUCAAGUCAUUGUGGUUACCCAAUCUUGUUUUUUUGUCUCUGUGGUAAGAUUUUAAAUCCAGAAGGCUAACCUCAGUGCUCCCCCAAGAAAGCAGGCAGAGAUGACGAUGCAUUUCCUUUUUUGACCUCUGCAGUCAAGUUUUAUAGAAAGAUGGAAUCUAUAGAAAUCAGACCAAACGCCAAAUCACCUGCAUGAGGACGAAAGGGUCAAACCUGUUUCUGUAGAAAUCCGUGGGGAAAAAAUGUACUGAAACAUAUUUUUUAAACUAAUUCAUAUUUAAAAAUUGGUUUUUUUUACUAAAUUCAGACUAAGAACUGUA
Molecule: long non-coding RNA, 1096 nt
Filed under: Calidris pugnax (ruff)
Lineage: Eukaryota; Metazoa; Chordata; Aves; Charadriiformes; Scolopacidae
Description: lncRNA (ENSCPUG00000019195.1)
Source: RNAcentral